RNAcentral lists this ribosomal RNA (274 nucleotides) under uncultured bacterium. RNAcentral's name for it is "partial 16S ribosomal RNA". It matches the Rfam family "Bacterial small subunit ribosomal RNA", at positions 523 to 796 of the family's 1533-position model. The record is from RNAcentral.
AUACGUAGGGUGCAAGCGUUAAUCGGAAUUACUGGGCGUAAAGCGCUCGUAGGCGGUUUGUAAAGUCGGAUGUGAAAGCCCCGGGCUCAACCUGGGAACUGCAUUCGAUACUGGCAGGCUAGAGUAUAGUAGAGGCAAGUGGAAUUCCGGGUGUAGCGGUGAAAUGCGUAGAUAUCCGGAGGAACAUCAGUGGCGAAGGCGACUUGCUGGACUAAUACUGACGCUAAGGAGCGAAAGCGUGGGGAGCAAACGGGAUUAGAAACCCCAGUAGUCC